UUCAGACUACUAAAACAAAGUACUAUAGACUAGGUGGCUUAUAAACAACAGGAAUUUAUUUCUCAUAGUGCUGGAAGCUAAGAAGCUAAGAAGGACCAAGAUGCAGGCAGAGCAGGUGUCUGGUCAGGCCCAGCUGCCUUGUUACACAUGGCCAUUGUCUUAGUGUAUCCUCACAUGGCAGAGAGCAGAGAGAGAGAGAGAAAAAAAAAAACAAGCACUCUCAAGUCUUUGAUAAGAGCACCAAUCCCAUGUAUGAGGCCUUUGCCUCAUAACCUCAGUACUUUCCAAAGACUAUACCUCUUAAUGCCAUCAUACUGGGAAGUUAGAUUUCAACAUAUGAAUUUUGGAGGAAUCCAACUAUUCAGUUUAUAGCAGACUUCUUGUGAUUUAAGGGAGUGCUGCUUAAUCCUAAUGCAUACAACUGAGAAGACUGUAAAAGUGAGCAUUCUGACUUAGCAGAUUUGAAGUGGGGCUUUAGUUUUUUGCAUCUCUAAUAAGGUUCUAGGAGAUGUUGCUGCUGUUCGUCCCUGAAUCACACUUUGAGUAGCAAGAGUUUAAGAUUUUCUGCAAUAAGGGAUUUUUUUUUCAGUAGACAUAACUGAAAGAUGUGGAUUUGAAGUCACUGGGAGCUGCUGCUUUCUCUGCUCCUCACCUCUUCCCAGGGUGCAGACCUCAUUUUCUGAGAUUGAGAGAGAUCCAAUAAUGAGUGUCACCUGGGUUCCUUCUCCAUGGCUCAGUCAUGAAGAUGAUGACGAAGACACACUGUAAUGCCUGCAGAUCUCCUUCUUGGUGACAUUGAUUAGGCCAGAGAUGGUGGAUCCAUUCAGGGAUUUCUCAGACUCAGCCGGGGAAAAAAAGCAGGUUUUAAAAACGUUUAUGAAAAAUGUUUGUGAAUUCAGAAAAACAGGAUUGUAACUUUAGAUCGUUUAUUAAUACCUAAUGAACACUUUUCUUAUCUAUAAAAUUAUUGAAAAACAAUAAUUGUAAAGGUACUGGUGUUUUAUCUUUUCUCUAUUUUCUGAUGAUCUUGGAUAUAAGGUCACCUAUGGUGAAUGAGGAGCCAGUAGUUUCUGGAGAAACUUUUAAGAUAAUGUAUGUUCACCUUUCAAUAUAUGGAGAUAGGCUACAUAAAACAUCUUGUAACAUUAAACACACUGGAGUUCACUUGAUAAACAGAGAAGCUAUUUCUAGUAAAACAUCUGAUGGGUGAAAAUAUCUCCAACGAUAAGGUUUAAGCUUCUUUAAUAGUAAAGUGUAUUCUGUAGUAAUAGGCUUUGGGAAAGUUCCAGUGUUUGUAAUAAAGAUGAGUUGAAAAGUUUAAAAUAAAUCAGCAAUAUUAUAUCAAUGGAUAAAGGAAAAAUCAUACCUCGAUAGUACUUGAUAGAGGUUCUUUCAAAUGUGAUUAAAAUAAUAUCCUAUUAAAAGUAUCAGAGUGACAUGAUCUUUAUAAAGUGAACAUUUAUUUUGCUAUGCCCGUGUUUCUGCCAUCAGAGAAAAUAUGAUCAUGAAAAGAAAUUCCUAUAAGUGGCCAUAAAAAAAAUACAUAUUUUACAUUUAAGAGAACUUUUUUUUUUUUUUAAUAAUGAGUGAUACUGUUUAGAUGAAAACCCUUUCCCUCCUAUGGUCUUUGGAACUUUCCUUCUACUAUAUUAGCUGUCUCAACUAGUAUUAGGAGAGUGACGGCACUGACUCCAAAUCUUACCUGUUAAAUAACUCCAUAACAGCAGCUGAAAUUUCUCGGGCCAAUUUUGUACUUAGAGAUUACAAGGUGGUUUCUGCUUCCAUUUGUUAUCCUUUCCAAAUUCAGUUCACUGAUCUACGUACUGAUUCAGCCAAGGCUAUUGUGCUAUUUGUCUUGCCAUAAAUAAGAUGGAUAAACUUUUUAAAAUCUCUUUUAGCUUAAUUACAUUUGAACUCCUUUGGAUUAUAAGAAAAAGAGUACUCCCCUUUCUGUGUCCAUGUGGUCUAUUGGGGGGAAAAGGGGAGGGCCAGUGGGAGGGGGAGGUGGGGAGGGAUAGCCUGGGGAGAAAUGCCAAAUGUGGGUGAAGGGGAGAAGAAAAGCAAAGCACACUGCCAUGUGUGUACCUACGCAACUGUCUUGCAUGCUCUGCUCAUGUACCCCAAAACCUAUAAUCCAAUAAAAAAUUUAAAAAAAAAAAAAAAAAAAAAGAAAAA
This is a long non-coding RNA of Callithrix jacchus (white-tufted-ear marmoset), 2175 nucleotides long. RefSeq lists it as uncharacterized. NCBI's taxonomy places the organism in Eukaryota, Metazoa, Chordata, Mammalia, Primates, Cebidae. The record is from RefSeq and is a predicted model, not a curated record.